This 1425-nucleotide long non-coding RNA is filed under the name Homo sapiens (human). RNAcentral's name for it is "HSALNT0395493". Lineage: Eukaryota; Metazoa; Chordata; Mammalia; Primates; Hominidae. The record is from RNAcentral.
UGCCUUUGCGAGAGCGGAGUUGGGUUCUCCUCAGCACAGACGCGGAGAGCAUCGCGAGGGCGGAGCUGCGUUCUCAUCUGCACAGAUUUCAGUGGUACUGCGAAGGCGGAGCAGAGUUCUCCUCAGAUGAUGAUUAUUCCCCACCUUCUAAGAGACAAAGACCAACGAGCCGCCACAGCCACCAGUCCCAGAACCCGCCAAUGCUGGGGAACGGAAAAUGAGGGAGUUCAACUCUGGCCCUCACAAUCCAGUGGAGGAGACGCAACUCAUCUGCCUCUGUCCCUCUGGGCACGCCUCGUGCCAGGUGCAUCUGUGGACAGGGGCCAUGCUCCUGGGCUUCCAAAGUUGGAGAAAGCUGCCAGGCUCAGGUCUGAAGGCCAGAAUUCUACAGUAAGUCCUACUGAGUCAAGGUGGGAGCAGGGUCGGUAGCUUCCGAGGCUCUGCGGGAGAAUCUGUUUCCUGGCCGUAGAGGUGGCCUGCACUCCUCAGCCUGUGCUGCCCGUCUCGAAUGACUGGAGUUUCCUGCUUCUGUCACUACACCUCCCACCCUCUCCAUCACCUGCUCUGCUCUUACAAGGAUCCGAAGAAAUGGAAUCAUCGUAUCGCUGAUCUACGUAAACAAACUGAAGAAUUGUCUGAAAGAAAAUAUGACAUGAACUUAUGAAUUCAAUAGGUGAAGAUUUACAACUUGAUAAAUCAACUUUGUCAGCUCGAGCUGUAAAAGCCAAAGGUCCGGUGAUGAUCCCAUACCCUUUUUUCCAGUCUCAUGUUGAAGAUUUUUAUGUAGAAGGCCUUCCCAAAGGAAUUUUUUUUUUUUUUUUUUUUUUGAGAUGGAGUUUUCACUCUUAUCGCCCAGGCUGGGGUGCAAUGGCACAACCUUGCUGGUCACUGCAACCUCUGCCUCCUGGGUUCAAGAAAUUCUCCUGCCUUAGCCUCCCAAGUCACUGGGAUUACAGGUGCCCACCACCACACCAGGCUAAUUUUUGUAUUUUUAGUGGAGAUGCGGUUUCACCAUGUUGGCCGGGCCAGUCUCGAACUCCUGACGUCAAGUGAUCUUCCCGCCUCGACUCCUGAUAUCAAGUGAUCUUCCCGCCUCGGCCUCCCAGAGUGCUGAGAUUACAGACGUGAACCCAUGCCUGGCCAGGAAUUUUGUUUUUUAGGAAGGCUUUCUACUAAUGGAAUUCCUGGCCUUGAGAGGAUGUUACUUUAGAAGGAAAGGAUUUUUUUGUUAUUAAAAGAGCCACCUAAGCUGAAGAUUCCCUUGAGAACAAGUACUGUCCCUAGUUUCCCAGUGCUGGAAUAUAGAAAAUGGAUGGACAACUGGACCUACCAUGAAAGACUUCUGAAUCCAGGAAGAGAAACUGACUGGGCAACAUGUUAUUCAGAAACAGGACCUUGCCCUGUCACUCAGGAUGGAGUUCAGUG